GCUUACCAAGGCUUACGGGUAGCCGGCCUGAGAGGGUGAUCGGCCACACUGGGACUGAGACACUGCCCAGACUCCUACGGGAGGCUGCAGUCGAGGAUCAUUCGCAAUGCGCGAAAGCGUGACGAUGCGACGCUGCGUGGAGGAUGACGGCCUUAGGGUUGUAAACUCCUGUCAUGAGGGAAAAACGGCCAGUAGGAUAAUACCCUAUUGGUGUGAUGGUACCUCAAGAGGAAGCCACGGCUAACUCUGUGCCAGCAGCCGCGGUAAUACAGAGGUGGCGAGCGUUGUUCGGAUUUACUGGGCGUAAAGGGUGCGUAGGCGGUUAUGUAUGUCGGAUGUGAAAUCCCAGGGCUCAACUUUGGAAUUGCAUCCGAAACUGCAUAACUUGAGUGCAGGAUGGGAGAGCGGAAUUCUUGGUGUAGCGGUGAAAUGCGUUGAUAUCAAGAAGAACACCGGCGGCGAAGGCGGCUCUCUGGAAUGUUACUGACGCUGAGGCACGAAAGCUGGGGGAGCGAACAGGAUUAGAUACCCUGGUAGUCCCAGCCGUAAACGGUGCACACUUGGUGUUGGAGGUAUUGACCCCUCCAGUGCCGGAGCUAACGCGUUAAGUGUGCCGCCUGGGGAGUACGGCCGCAAGGCUAAAACUCGAAGAAAUUGACGGGGGCCCGCACAAGCGGAGGAGCAUGUGGCUUAAUUCGAUGCAACGCGAAGAACCUUACCAGGGCUUGACAUGGGGACCCUUCGGGGGUGGGUGCGAAAGUACCCUUUACCAUCACAGGUGCUGCAUGGCUGUCGUCGGUUCGUGCCGUGAGGUGUUGGGUUAAGUCCCGCAACGAACGCAACCCCUGUGGUUAGUUGCCACUUCAGGUGAUGAGCCUGGAAGCACUCUAGCCAGACUGCCCGUACAAGCGGGAGGAAGGUGGGGAUGACGUCAAGUCAGUAUGGCCCUUACGCCCUGGGCUGCACACGUGCUACAAUGGCCGGUCCAAAAGGAAGCAAUACCGCGAGGUGGAGCAAAUCCUCAAAGCCGGCCCCAGUUCGGAUUGGAGUCUGCAACUCGACUCCAUGAAGUUGGAUUCGCUAGUAACGGCGUAUCAGCUACGACGCCGUGAAUACGUUCCCGGGCCUUGUACACACCGCCCGUCACAUCAUGAAAGCCGUCUGCACCCGAAGUCACUGAUCUAAUCUUUCGAGAAGGAAGGUGCCGAAGGUGUGGGUGGUGAUUGGGAUGAAGUCGUAACAAGGUA
Molecule: ribosomal RNA, 1247 nt
Filed under: metagenome
Description: bacterial SSU rRNA
Rfam family: Bacterial small subunit ribosomal RNA
Source: RNAcentral